UAGGGAAUCUUCCGCAAUGGACGAAAGUCUGACGGAGCGACGCCGCGUGAGCGAAGAAGGUCUUCGGAUCGUAAAGCUCUGUUGUUAGGGAAGAAGAAGUGCCGUUCGAACAGGGCGGCGCGGUGACGGUACCAUAGGAGGAAGCCCCGGCUAACUACGUGCCAGCAGCCGCGGUAAUACGUAGGGGGCGAGCGUUGUCCGGAAUUAUUGGGCGUAAAGCGCGCGCAGGCGGUUCCUUAAGUCUGAUGUGAAAUCUCGCGGCUCAACCGCGAGCGGCCAUUGGAAACUGGGGAACUUGAGUGCAGGAGAGGGGAGCGGAAUUCCACGUGUAGCGGUGAAAUGCGUAGAGAUGUGGAGGAACACCAGUGGCGAAGGCGGCUCUCUGGCCUGUAACUGACGCUGAGGCGCGAAAGCGUGGGGAGCGAACAGG
This 430-nucleotide ribosomal RNA is filed under the name bacterium. RNAcentral describes it as "partial 16S ribosomal RNA". It matches the Rfam family "Bacterial small subunit ribosomal RNA", at positions 355 to 776 of the family's 1533-position model. The record is from RNAcentral.